Non-coding RNA from Podiceps cristatus (great crested grebe), 46 nucleotides. The record is from Rfam. NCBI's taxonomy places the organism in Eukaryota, Metazoa, Chordata, Aves, Podicipediformes, Podicipedidae.
AAACCAGCUUUUUUAAAAGCUAUCCCUGAAAAAGAUAGAGGAGUUU